Molecule: ribosomal RNA, 678 nt
Filed under: Salmonella enterica
Lineage: Bacteria; Pseudomonadati; Pseudomonadota; Gammaproteobacteria; Enterobacterales; Enterobacteriaceae
Description: partial 23S ribosomal RNA
Rfam family: Bacterial large subunit ribosomal RNA
Source: RNAcentral
ACCCUUUAAUGUUUGAUGUUCUAACGUGGACCCGUAAUCCGGGUUGCGGACAGUGUCUGGUGGGUAGUUUGACUGGGGCGGUCUCCUCCUAAAGAGUAACGGAGGAGCACGAAGGUUGGCUAAUCCUGGUCGGACAUCAGGAGGUUAGUGCAAUGGCAUAAGCCAGCUUGACUGCGAGCGUGACGGCGCGAGCAGGUGCGAAAGCAGGUCAUAGUGAUCCGGUGGUUCUGAAUGGAAGGGCCAUCGCUCAACGGAUAAAAGGUACUCCGGGGAUAACAGGCUGAUACCGCCCAAGAGUUCAUAUCGACGGCGGUGUUUGGCACCUCGAUGUCGGCUCAUCACAUCCUGGGGCUGAAGUAGGUCCCAAGGGUAUGGCUGUUCGCCAUUUAAAGUGGUACGCGAGCUGGGUUUAGAACGUCGUGAGACAGUUCGGUCCCUAUCUGCCGUGGGCGCUGGAGAACUGAGGGGGGCUGCUCCUAGUACGAGAGGACCGGAGUGGACGCAUCACUGGUGUUCGGGUUGUCAUGCCAAUGGCACUGCCCGGUAGCUAAAUGCGGAAGAGAUAAGUGCUGAAAGCAUCUAAGCACGAAACUUGCCCCGAGAUGAGUUCUCCCUGAGACUUAGAGUCUCCUGAAGGAACGUUGAAGACGACGACGUUGAUAGGCCGGGUGUGUAAGC